GAUGAACGUUGGCGGCGUGCCUAAUACAUGCAAGUCGAGCGAACAGAUAAGGAGCUUGCUCCUUUGACGUUAGCGGCGGACGGGUGAGUAACACGUGGGUAACCUACCUAUAAGACUGGGAUAACUUCGGGAAACCGGAGCUAAUACCGGAUAAUAUUUCGAACCGCAUGGUUCGAUAGUGAAAGAUGGUUUUGCUAUCACUUAUAGAUGGACCCGCGCCGUAUUAGCUAGUUGGUAAGGUAACGGCUUACCAAGGCGACGAUACGUAGCCGACCUGAGAGGGUGAUCGGCCACACUGGAACUGAGACACGGUCCAGACUCCUACGGGAGGCAGCAGUAGGGAAUCUUCCGCAAUGGGCGAAAGCCUGACGGAGCAACGCCGCGUGAGUGAUGAAGGUCUUCGGAUCGUAAAACUCUGUUAUUAGGGAAGAACAUACGUGUAAGUAACUGUGCACGUCUUGACGGUACCUAAUCAGAAAGUCACGGCUAACUACGUGCCAGCAGCCGCGGUAAUACGUAGGUGGCAAGCGUUAUCCGGAAUUAUUGGGCGUAAAGCGCGCGUAGGCGGUUUUUUAAGUCUGAUGUGAAAGCCCACGGCUCAACCGUGGAGGGUCAUUGGAAACUGGAAAACUUGAGUGCAGAAGAGGAAAGUGGAAUUCCAUGUGUAGCGGUGAAAUGCGCAGAGAUAUGGAGGAACACCAGUGGCGAAGGCGACUUUCUGGUCUGUAACUGACGCUGAUGUGCGAAAGCGUGGGGAUCAAACAGGAUUAGAUACCCUGGUAGUCCACGCCGUAAACGAUGAGUGCUAAGUGUUAGGGGGUUUCCGCCCCUUAGUGCUGCAGCUAACGCAUUAAGCACUCCGCCUGGGGAGUACGACCGCAAGGUUGAAACUCAAAGGAAUUGACGGGGACCCGCACAAGCGGUGGAGCAUGUGGUUUAAUUCGAAGCAACGCGAAGAACCUUACCAAAUCUUGACAUCCUUUGACAACUCUAGAGAUAGAGCUUUCCCCUUCGGGGGACAAAGUGACAGGUGGUGCAUGGUUGUCGUCAGCUCGUGUCGUGAGAUGUUGGGUUAAGUCCCGCAACGAGCGCAACCCUUAAGCUUAGUUGCCAUCAUUAAGUUGGGCACUCUAAGUUGACUGCCGGUGACAAACCGGAGGAAGGUGGGGAUGACAUCAAAUCAUCAUGCCCCUUAUGAUUUGGGCUACACACGUGCUACAAUGGACAAUACAAAGGGCAGCGAAACCGCGAGGUCAAGCAAAUCCCAUAAAGUUGUUCUCAGUUCGGAUUGUAGUCUGCAACUCGACUACAUGAAGCUGGAAUCGCUAGUAAUCGUAGAUCAGCAUGCUACGGUGAAUACGUUCCCGGGUCU
RNAcentral lists this ribosomal RNA (1372 nucleotides) under uncultured bacterium. Its description in RNAcentral is "bacterial SSU rRNA". It matches the Rfam family "Bacterial small subunit ribosomal RNA", at positions 28 to 1381 of the family's 1533-position model. The record is from RNAcentral.